AGAAAUGGGCUUAAGUGGAAAAGAAGGGAACAGUAGCAAAUCUGGGAGAAAGGGGGCGGCGGCACUGUAGAAAAUUUCACCUCGCCGGAGCUUUGACCGACCGCUUGGGUGGUCAAACGACCUCCGUUUCAGCUCAGAUUUGGAGGGGGUGUUCUACUCGAUGAGGGGAACAAUCCUACGAUGGCCAAUCGUAUUUUUAGUGGCUGAAUUCUUAAAUAUGUGGUAGGGGACCCUAACCCUAAAACUUAAAUUUUUAUGUUUUUCCCUUGAAAAAAAAAUUGUAAAUAUUGUCAUUAUGAGUUAAUUAGGAAUUAUGAGGGUUGUAUGAAUUUUUCUAGAAUAUUUGGAAUUUGUUUGGAAUUUUUGUAAUUGCGGGAAAUUGAUUUUGAUUGAUAAUUAAUUGUUUUGAAUUGUAAAAAAAAAUUAUUGGAAGGGUUGAAAAAUUCCAAAAUUAGGGUUAAAUUUCAAAUAUAGUGAUUUGUGAAUUUUUGGGCAUUAGUUAGAAAAUUUUUGGAAUUUUUAUGAUAGAAAGUUAGUUAAUUUCGAAUAUUAGAAAUUAUUAUAAUGGUUGAAAAAUUCCGUAAGUGUGGUAAAAUUUCAAGAUUUUUGAUAUGCAAAUUUUUUAUUAUUUAUUUGGGAUAUUAUCAGAAAUUUUAAUGUGUGAAAUUAUUUUAUUGGAUUAUUGGGGAAUGUUGAAAUUGUUGAAUUAUUGAGGAACCUUAGAAUUGUGGCAUUCAUUUGCAUCAUGGUUAUGUGGAAAAUAAAUAAAUAAAUAAAUAAAUAAAUAAAAUUAUGAAGAUUGUGAAAAAUGUAUGAAAUGGAAAAAAAAAAAAUUAGUGAUGAGAAGUGAAAACCGUGUAGGGCGAAUUAAGAAAAGAGAGAGAUCCGUAGGGUGAAAGACCCAAAAGUUGCCCCGGGAAGACUCCGAAUGGGGAGUGUAUUUGGGUGCGGACGCGUAUCCUUCAGUGAAAGCCCGAGAACAAUAGUGCAUUGUAUGACUAUGUGUCACAUGUUCAUAUGCAUUCAUGUAAUUGUUGAAUAUUGUGAAAUUGUGUAUAAAAUUAUAUAUUAAACUAUGUGGUUUGAUUGAUACUGUUGAAUUGUUCCUGUGUUGUUGAAGUGUUCUUUUCGUAUUCUUUGAAACUUAGUAAUCCCCUUAACCCCUUGGGUGUUAGGCACUCUACUGAGCAAUGUGGAAAUGCUCACCCCUUCCUUGUUACACCUUUUUAGAUGCAGAUAUCUCUCCUGAGGAUCCACAGGUGGGACAGGGAGGACUUCAGGAUGCUCCUAGAGCAGCCUAGUGGAGCGUGACAUUUUCUGUUAUUGUGUUUUUGUUUGGAUUUUGGGAUUUGUUUUAGUAAUUAUGACUCAUGGAUUUGUUAUGAAUCUUUAUUUUGAUUAAGUCGUUAAUUGUGAACUUUUAUUUUGGACUAUAAUGAAUAUUUAUUUGAUCUUAUUGUUUUGAGUAGUUUUGGG
RNAcentral lists this long non-coding RNA (1476 nucleotides) under Vitis vinifera (wine grape). RNAcentral's name for it is "long non-coding RNA (VVIN_LNC002356)". The record is from RNAcentral. Lineage: Eukaryota; Viridiplantae; Streptophyta; Magnoliopsida; Vitales; Vitaceae.